This 341-nucleotide ribosomal RNA is filed under the name Epiperipatus sp. 13 CSC-2019. RNAcentral's name for it is "partial small subunit ribosomal RNA". Lineage: Eukaryota; Metazoa; Onychophora; Udeonychophora; Euonychophora; Peripatidae. The record is from RNAcentral.
CCCUGUUAUCCUAUAUAAAAAUAAUAUUUCAAAAAUAUUAAAAAUAAUAAAUUUGACGGUAUUAACUUUUACAAAGGAAUUUGUUUCUAAAUCGAAAAUACACGAUAAACCUUACUUAAUUUAUAUUUGUAUACCACCGUAUCUAGUAAUUAUAUAAAAUUAAUUACAAAAAAAAUUUUUUUUAAAAAAUCAGGUCAAGGUGCAAUUUAAUUAAGAUGAAAUGAAUUACAUUUUUAUAUCAAACCUAUAAAUAUUGAAACAUAUUUAAAAAUAGAAUUUGUCAGUAAAAUCUUAUCAUAAUGGUUUUUUGAAAAUUAACAUUAAUAUGUACAUAUCGCCCG